Molecule: long non-coding RNA, 767 nt
Organism: Micropterus dolomieu (smallmouth bass)
Lineage: Eukaryota; Metazoa; Chordata; Actinopteri; Centrarchiformes; Centrarchidae
Exons: 2
Source: RefSeq, a predicted model, not a curated record
CAACCACGUCUCCUCAACCAAUAUCUGUCAUUUACCUGCAUCUCCCGCCUUCUCUCCCACUUUUAUCUCUUCACCGCUCCCUCUCGCUCCCCGGUCACUCUCUCACCUGUUUCUCUGUCUUCUUCCAUCUCACACUGCAGCACAACAAGAAGAGAAAUGUUACAGCUGAAUAAAACAUCACAGGACCAGGGAGACAGUGUGCACCAGCUACACGGCCAGCAAAACAGCUCCAGAGCGUGAUACUACCACCACCGUCCUCGAAACAUACCUCCUGUGACUGGAGGGCUGCAGGCUCUUGUUUGUUUGCCCGUGGGAUCAGUAACAAUGGACGGCUCCUUUCUUGCAGCAUAGCCUCUCACUUGACUGAUGACAAUGUACCUGUGAUCCAGCUUCUACAUCAUGGCAGACUAGUUUGUUUUGGUGAGUCUUGGAUUACAUCUGACCAUCCGCACCAACUAUCUCUCAGCAAAGUGUGACAGUUUGGGUUUUCUUCGUGGCAAAGAAACCACUGUUCUUUGCAUUAAUGAUCUUGGGGCCUGACAUUGCUUAAAGAUGGCCCCUUGUGCACUUUCUCAGAUCUAUACUGAACUCUUUCGACUUUCAAUUAGAUGUUUGUGGCUCAGCCCAGUCAAGCAAGCCCUACAGGCACAGAAAAGUGUCCAACUGUAGUAAAUCAUGAUCACUGACAUGAAAUGAAGAUGUUCAGUGACAUUUUACUUUCUAUGCACCCAGUAGCUAAUUCACAAUAAAUGGUACUGUAUGCUGAA